CACGUAGGCACCAAGCGUUGUCCGGAUUUAUUGGGCGUAAAGAGCUCGUAGGCGGUUCAGUAAGUCGGGUGUGAAAACUCUGGGCUCAACCCGGAGACGCCACCCGAUACUGCUGUGACUUGAGUUCGGUAGGGGAGUGGGGAAUUUCUAGUGUAGCGGUGAAAUGCGCAGAUAUUAGAAGGAACACCGGUGGCGAAGGCAGCUCGCUGGGACGUGACUGACGCUGAGACGCGAAAGCGUGGGGAGCAAACAGG
Molecule: ribosomal RNA, 254 nt
Filed under: uncultured bacterium
Lineage: Bacteria
Description: partial 16S ribosomal RNA
Rfam family: Bacterial small subunit ribosomal RNA
Source: RNAcentral